Molecule: ribosomal RNA, 444 nt
Filed under: uncultured organism
Description: bacterial SSU rRNA
Rfam family: Bacterial small subunit ribosomal RNA
Source: RNAcentral
GAUGAACGCUAGCGGAAAGCUUAACACAUGCAAGUCGAACGCCCGCAAGGGAGUGGCGAACGGGUGCGUAACACGUGCUUAAUUUGCCCUGGAGUGGGGAACAACUGCCGAAAGGCAGCUAAUUCCGCAUACGCUCCGAGGAAUGAAAAUACUCGGAGGAAAGAUUUAUUGCUCUAGGAGAAGGGCGCGGCCUAUUAGCUAGUUGGUAGGGUAAUGGCCUACCAAGGCUUUGAUGGGUAGCUGGUCUGAGAGGAUGAUCAGCCACAAUGGGACUGAGACAAGGCCCAUACCCCUACGGGGGGCAGCAGUGGGGAAUCUUGCGCAAUGGACGAAAGUCUGACGCAGCUAUUCCGCGUGAAGGAUGAAGCAUUACGGUGUGUAAACUUCUUUUCUGGGGAAUGACGACUGACAGUACCCCAGGAAUAAGGGACGGCUAACUACGUG